AUUAUAAUUUACAAGUGCCCUCAUAUAUGUCCGGUGAUAUGGAUCGGAUGUCUCUACCAAGUCUCCGGAAAUGACUUGACUAUGAAGGUGGAUGACGCAUGC
Molecule: regulatory RNA element, 102 nt
Organism: Planomicrobium sp.
Lineage: Bacteria; Bacillati; Bacillota; Bacilli; Caryophanales; Caryophanaceae
Rfam family: Purine riboswitch aptamer
About the family: Riboswitches are metabolite binding domains within certain messenger RNAs that serve as precision sensors for their corresponding targets. Allosteric rearrangement of mRNA structure is mediated by ligand binding, and this results in modulation of gene expression. A class of riboswitches that selectively recognises guanine and becomes saturated at concentrations as low as 5 nM.
Source: Rfam